AAUAUAUAAUGGGCUAGGGGUCUGAAAAAAUUGAGAGGAAUAUGUUGUCUAUCAGCUUCUUCUUUUGUAAUAUCAAUGAGAUUAGAGUUAAAUAAUAGCACAACAUAU
This is a small nucleolar RNA of Lactuca sativa (garden lettuce), 108 nucleotides long. RefSeq annotates it as small nucleolar RNA snoR97. Lineage: Eukaryota; Viridiplantae; Streptophyta; Magnoliopsida; Asterales; Asteraceae. The record is from RefSeq and is a predicted model, not a curated record.